GUGGUUUAAUUCGAAGAUACACGAAGAACCUUACCUGGCCUUGACAUGGUAGGAACCUUAAGAGAUUAGGGGUGCUAGCUUGCUAGAACCUACACACAGGUGCUGCACGGCUGUCGUCAGCUCGUGUCGUGAGAUGUUGGGUUAAGUCCCGCAACGAGCGCAACCCUGUCCUUAGUUGCUAACAGUUCGGCUGAGCACUCUAGGGAGACUGCCUUCGCAAGGAGGAGGAAGGUGAGGACGACGUCAAGUCAUCAUGGCCCUUACGGCCAGGGCUACACACGUGCUACAAUGGGGCGUACAGAGAGCUGCGAUACCGCGAGGUGGAGCCAAUCUCUUAAAGCGUCUCUCAGUUCGGAUUGUUCUCUGCAACUCGAGAACAUGAAGCUGGAAUCACUAGUAAUCGCAGAUCAGCUAUGCUGCGGUGAAUACGUUCCCGGGUCUU
RNAcentral lists this ribosomal RNA (442 nucleotides) under uncultured Sulfuricurvum sp. RNAcentral's name for it is "bacterial SSU rRNA". It matches the Rfam family "Bacterial small subunit ribosomal RNA", at positions 941 to 1382 of the family's 1533-position model. Lineage: Bacteria; Pseudomonadati; Campylobacterota; Epsilonproteobacteria; Campylobacterales; Sulfurimonadaceae. The record is from RNAcentral.